Molecule: ribosomal RNA, 241 nt
Filed under: Brevibacillus borstelensis
Lineage: Bacteria; Bacillati; Bacillota; Bacilli; Caryophanales; Paenibacillaceae
Description: partial 16S ribosomal RNA
Rfam family: Bacterial small subunit ribosomal RNA
Source: RNAcentral
ACACGUAGGCAACCUGCCCGUAAGCUCGGGAUAACAUGGGGAAACUCAUGCUAAUACCGGAUAGGGUCUUCUCUCGCAUGAGAGGAGACGGAAAGGUGGCGCAAGCUACCACUUACGGAUGGGCCUGCGGCGCAUUAGCUAGUUGGUGGGGUAACGGCCUACCAAGGCGACGAUGCGUAGCCGACCUGAGAGGGUGACCGGCCACACUGGGACUGAGACACGGCCCAGACUCCUACGGGAG